RNAcentral lists this ribosomal RNA (423 nucleotides) under Wolbachia endosymbiont of Cimex lectularius. RNAcentral describes it as "bacterial SSU rRNA". It matches the Rfam family "Bacterial small subunit ribosomal RNA", at positions 992 to 1413 of the family's 1533-position model. Lineage: Bacteria; Pseudomonadati; Pseudomonadota; Alphaproteobacteria; Rickettsiales; Anaplasmataceae. The record is from RNAcentral.
CAUACCUAUUCGAAGGGAUAGGGUCGGUUCGGCCGGAUUUCACACAGGUGUUGCAUGGCUGUCGUCAGCUCGUGUCGUGAGAUGUUGGGUUAAGUCCCGCAACGAGCGUAACCCUCAUCCUUAGUUACCAUCGGGUAAUGCUGGGGACUUUAAGGAAACUGCUAGUGAUAAACUGGAGGAAGGUGGGGAUGAUGUCAAGUCAUCAUGGCCUUUAUGGAGUGGGCUACACACGUGCUACAAUGGUGGCUACAAUGGGCUGCAAAGUCGCGAGGCUAAGCUAAUCUCUUAAAAGCCAUCUCAGUUCGGAUUGUACUCUGCAACUCGAGUGCAUGAAGUUGGAAUCGCUAGUAAUCGUGGAUUAGCAUGCCACGGUGAAUACGUUCUCGGGUCUUGUACACACUGCCCGUCACGCCAUGGGAAUUG